RNAcentral lists this ribosomal RNA (506 nucleotides) under uncultured bacterium. RNAcentral's name for it is "partial 16S ribosomal RNA". It matches the Rfam family "Bacterial small subunit ribosomal RNA", at positions 30 to 523 of the family's 1533-position model. The record is from RNAcentral.
AUUGAACGCUGGCGGCAGGCCUAACACAUGCAAGUCGAACGGUAACAGGAAACAGCUUGCUGUUUCGCUGACGAGUGGCGGACGGGUGAGUAAUGUCUGGGAAACUGCCUGAUGGAGGGGGAUAACUACUGGAAACGGUAGCUAAUACCGCAUAACGUCGCAAGACCAAAGAGGGGGACCUUCGGGCAUCUUGCCAUCGGAUGUGCCCAGAUGGGAUUAGGUAGUAGGUGGGGUAACGGCUCACCUAGGCGACGAUCCCUAGCUGGUCUGAGAGGAUGACCAGCCACACUGGAACUGAGACACGGUCCAGACUCCUACGGGAGGCAGCAGUGGGGAAUAUUGCACGAUGGGCGCAAGCCUGAUGCAGCAAUGCCGCGUGUAUGAAGAAGGCCUUCGGGUUGUAAAGUACUUUCAGCGGGGAGGAAGGGAGUAAAGUCAAUACCUUUGCUCAUUGACGUUACCCGCAGAAGAAGCACCGGCUAACUCCGUGCCAGCCGCCGCGGUAA